UCAACAUUGGCUACUUUCAAGGCAGAUACACCUCUGAGUAUCUCCCAGAAGUUUUAAGAACUUUUCAAAUACAUUAGAAGCUCUGCCAGGCACUGAGGAAUUUGGCCCAAAUGCCAAAACUAUGUAACGUCACAACUAGGAACUUGGUCUAAAUUUGCGUGUGCCCCAUCAGUUCUGCUUUUAUAUCACACGCAUUUGACUGCAAAUGUAUUGGUACGAAACGUGUUUUUUCCAUACAUUGACUGAAAAACUGUUUUCUACCCAUGAAUGGAAAAGCAUAAUCAGAACAAAAGAGGUGGGCAAGUUGUUAAUGUGCUGAAUUCCAUUUCCAUAUACCAGAAAAGUGCAACAUUUUGUGAAAAGGAAGACUUGGCUUCUGUCCACCCACCUUGCUUCUCUAUCUAGAGGAAGCGGCUUGGCAGUUUCGCCCCUCCAGAGAGUGCAUUUUCGCAUUCCAGUUUUGCAUAUUCUGGAAUUCUUCCAAGCUUAUGGAUAUCACUUUCAAGGGCUCAUAGAAAGAGUUCUUUGCUGAUGUCAUCUCUUAGGAUUUAAUUGAAACAUUUAAAGCCAGGGAAUCUGAAAGUGACUAGACACCACCCACCGCCAUCGCUACUGGAUCGGGUGAUCCGGUCCGAACCAGGAGCAUUUCACCCCUGGUUUGAGGACCUGGGCAAUCGAGC
Long non-coding RNA from Pantherophis guttatus, 680 nucleotides. RefSeq lists it as uncharacterized. The record is from RefSeq and is a predicted model, not a curated record. Lineage: Eukaryota; Metazoa; Chordata; Lepidosauria; Squamata; Colubridae.